AUCUACGGCCAUACCACCCUGAACAUGCCCGAUCUUAUCUGAUCUCGGAAGCUAAGCAGGGUCAGGUUUGGUUAGUACUUGGAUGGGAGAAAUGAGAAUAACAGUUAACUCCCUUUU
Molecule: non-coding RNA, 117 nt
Organism: Erinaceus europaeus (western European hedgehog)
Lineage: Eukaryota; Metazoa; Chordata; Mammalia; Eulipotyphla; Erinaceidae
Source: Rfam